RNAcentral lists this ribosomal RNA (205 nucleotides) under uncultured bacterium. Its description in RNAcentral is "partial 16S ribosomal RNA". It matches the Rfam family "Bacterial small subunit ribosomal RNA", at positions 568 to 774 of the family's 1533-position model. The record is from RNAcentral.
AGCGCAGGUGGUUUAUUAAAUCUGGUGUAAAAGGCAGUGGCUCAACCAUUGUAUGCAUUGGAAACUGGUAGACUUGAGUGCAGGAGAGGAGAGUGGAAUUCCAUGUGUAGCGGUGAAAUGCGUAGAUAUAUGGAGGAACACCGGUGGCGAAAGCGGCUCUCUGGCCUGUAACUGACACUGAGGCUCGAAAGCGUGGGAGCAAACA